Molecule: long non-coding RNA, 1012 nt
Organism: Musa acuminata AAA Group (dessert banana)
Lineage: Eukaryota; Viridiplantae; Streptophyta; Magnoliopsida; Zingiberales; Musaceae
Exons: 2
Source: RefSeq, a predicted model, not a curated record
ACCGCAUUGGUUCAUCUGAUUCAAACAUGGCCAUUGUUGUCGAGGGGCCGAGCUUGUAGGCGUAUGGUUCAGAGAACACAUGGGCAGCGGCAACGAAGUGGACGGCAAAUGAAGCACGUCUUGUUGGUUCAGGAGAAAAGAUCGUACUGACCGAAUGAUCCAUUCUUCGAUGGGAGACUUUUUGAUUCCAGGCGCAGGAAAACACCAAUGGAGUUGGAUUGAUGAUCCAACACUCUUGUCUCCUUUUAUCGUAUCGUGUGGACAACUCUGCCUCAGCAUUUUGGACCUUAUUUUACAGGGAAUGGGGAGGAUCGAGUGGAGAAGAUGGUAGAGUGGACAGACUGAGCUGCAGGAGCAUGUCACCGCGCAGCUUGCGAGGACUAAAGGCUGAAUGAGAUGGGGAGGUAGAGUGAAGGACUCGAGCUCUCUGGUCCAAUGACAGAAGCGAGAACUUUAGAGAGAGGUGAUAAGAAGAAAGGCAGAUGUUGCUCUUGAAUCAUCAUAAGUCACACAGCUGUAAGGUUUCGUUUGACUUUAAUAUGGAUUCGACUGUGGCCUCCGCUCAAAGGGGAACUUCUCAACAGAGGCGCGGUCGCAUGAACAGUGAGGCUUGAUGGGGAGAUUCGCGUUCAGCGGUGAGCUGAUUGGGUCGUCGGCUGCACCGCAUCGACCGAAGCGGUGCCAACGCACGCCGGGAAGCAGCGUCGGCGGCUUCGACGUCGAUGGCGUUCAGGGGAUGAUUUGCCCUGGCUUGACAGGGAGAGCGUCAGGAUAUCGUGGACCGAAAGCUGUUUGUUGAAAUGAGGUGGAAGACGACGACCGUCCACCGUGUUUACUCACCGCAUUUGCCUUUGUGGCCGACUGCUCCACUGCAUGGCCGGAAUGAAUCACCCCUGAGGCAUUAAAGGGGUCGGUCGUCUCUCACAAGCCUGCCUAUGUGGCGCCCAGCUUUCGUGUCUGCGAAGAGUAAAUUGCCAAAUAAAAGAAUAUCUAGAGUACACGUCAGUUGACA